Long non-coding RNA from Hyla sarda, 631 nucleotides. RefSeq lists it as uncharacterized. Lineage: Eukaryota; Metazoa; Chordata; Amphibia; Anura; Hylidae. The record is from RefSeq and is a predicted model, not a curated record. The transcript is spliced from 4 exons.
UCACCUUAUGGUGGAUUACCCCUUUAAAGGAGAUGUCCGGUGCUCACUUUUCUUAUUUUAUCCGAUUCGGGCUGAAAAAUAAAAGAAAACAAAUUAACUAACAGGAAGUAAGAAGAAUACAGCCUGGGGACCGAACGCCUGUACCGGAGCACCGGGGGAGCGUAUGCAGGGCAAUUUAUCCUGAAAAGUCACAAUGAAAUCCUUAAAUGACAGGAACGCUUUGAGGGAAGGACAGAGUGGUUUCAGCACUACCAACACCAAGCUGUAAAGAGAAAAACUUUUCGAACUGGCACUAGGGGGGCAUCUAUGACUUGUAUUGUUACUCAUUCCCAUCAUUAAAGAGGUUAUCCAGCAGAGAGCACUGUUUCCAGACAGAUAAGAACAACUCAACUUCAGUAGCUGAUAAUUAUUGGAAGGAUUAAAGCGUGAUAACAGACCGUCGCCCAUCAGUGGAGCCCACCGCCCAUGCAACAUCUCUCCACCUCCCUGCAAUUGUAUACAACUUGGAAAACGAAAAUAAAGUUUUUCUGCACGACAUACCCUGGCGUCUGAGGUUGUACUUGUUUUUGGCGCCCACCAUUUAGCCAUAUAAAAGACUGAGAAACAAGAGAAAAAAAUUAUUUGUGGGAGG